AUUGCAGUGAAUAAUAGGUUGUUCCUGACCCAGAGACCUUUUGUUUCCUUUCAGGGUGGUAUAAAUAAACAUAUAUAUUAAACAUGUGUCAGAAGGCUCACAGAGGUGAAGUGGCCAACCUGAAACUCAGUUUAUAAAUGUUACAAAAUGGGUGAAAGCGAUUUUGUAAAGGACUUUAAGAGGCAUCCUUCUUUUUCAAGAGGAAAAGGAGUUAAGCCCAGGUGGAUGGAUAACCCGGACCUACAUCCCUGUUACACAGGAGUCUGCUUCACAGGAAACUCGAUCACCACUGUCUCCAAGAGCAGGUGUCUUUUGCCCGGGCCCCUGAGCACGAGGGUCUCUGGCUUACAUCUCUACUGUUGCUGCUUCUGAGAACUAAACAUCCUUCUGCCCUUUUCCCCUUUACACCGUUCUGCCCUCUUCACAUCACUCUCCCUCUUUUAGGGAAAUGGGAGCAUGUUUCUGACUGGCCUACUUGCAGAAUCUGCAUGCCUGUGUCCCAGCUGGCAAAAGUCCUCUCCUGGGGAAAUAAGGAUUCCUGGAUAAAAGUUACAAGAUGUAGAAGCCACGUUCAGGAGGUUGGAAUGAGAUGAAUGUCUGCUCUAUCUCCUUGACAGGCAUGGGAGCUGGAGGUUAUGCUAAGUAGUUUUUAUGAUUACAAAAUUUCACAUAGGGCUCUGUGGUAUCCAUUAGUCUCUACUGCUGGCCUUGAUAUAGGCCAAAUGUCUUUGAGUUUGGAAUAGUGAGUUUAUAUGUACUGAUUAUAGCAUCUUUCUCAGGGCUCCUAACAUCUCUGUGCUUAUGGUCCCUCCUCGAGCGUCCUUUGGAACCUAUACCAGAGAGUACUUUGUUUUCCUUCUGUGAUCUCUUAGGAUGCCCUGACAACCCAAAGUUUUUUUGUUUGAUUCAGCUUGAAGAAAUGUUAUUGACAUUUUAAAAGUGAACAGGUUGACACUGAAAUUACAUAAAUGAUGGCAAAUAGCAGAAGUUCACUUUGGUCACCCCAAGUGCUUGAUGGCUAUAUCUGAACCCAGGGUCUUAAGGGAAUAAAAAGGCCAAAACUAAGGACUGACA
This 1074-nucleotide long non-coding RNA is filed under the name Neogale vison (American mink). RNAcentral describes it as "Neovison vison (American mink) lncRNA (ENSNVIG00000005498.1)". Lineage: Eukaryota; Metazoa; Chordata; Mammalia; Carnivora; Mustelidae. The record is from RNAcentral.